AAAUUUAGGUUAACCACAAAACAAACCAAGGACCUUCAAAGCCCUAAACAGGGCCACAUAAACGCCCUAAUUUCUG
RNAcentral lists this transfer RNA (76 nucleotides) under Lepidodactylus euaensis. Its description in RNAcentral is "tRNA-Trp". The record is from RNAcentral. Lineage: Eukaryota; Metazoa; Chordata; Lepidosauria; Squamata; Gekkonidae.